AGCACUUGACAUACAUCGAGCUCGUCAGAGAGGGCUUGGUGGCGGUUCGGUGGAACGUUGAUAC
RNAcentral lists this ribosomal RNA (64 nucleotides) under uncultured bacterium. Its description in RNAcentral is "partial 16S ribosomal RNA". The record is from RNAcentral.